CUACGGGAUGCUGCAGUGGGGAAUCUUAGACAAUGGGGGAAACCCUGAUCUAGCCAUGCCGCGUGAGCGACGACGGCCCUAGGGUUGUAAAGCUCUUUCAGCAGGGAAGAUAAUGACGGUACCUGCAGAAGAAGUCCCGGCUAACUCCGUGCCAGCAGCCGCGGUAAUACGGAGGGGACUAGCGUUGUUCGGAAUUACUGGGCGUAAAGCGCGCGUAGGCGGAUUGUUAAGUCGGGGGUGAAAUCCCGGGGCUCAACCCCGGAACUGCCCUCGAUACUGGCAGUCUUGAGUUCGAGAGAGGUGAGUGGAAUUCCGAGUGUAGAGGUGAAAUUCGUAGAUAUUCGGAGGGACACCAGUGGCGAAGGCGGCUCACUGGCUCGAUACUGACGCUGAGGUGCGAAAGCGUGGGGAGCAAACAGGAUUAGAUACCCCGGUAGUC
This 439-nucleotide ribosomal RNA is filed under the name uncultured bacterium. RNAcentral's name for it is "partial 16S ribosomal RNA". It matches the Rfam family "Bacterial small subunit ribosomal RNA", at positions 339 to 795 of the family's 1533-position model. The record is from RNAcentral.